UACGGAGGGUGCAAGCGUUAUCCGGAAUUACUGGGUUUAAAGGGUGCGUAGGCGGCUUGAUAAGUAAGAGGUGAAAGCCUAUCGCUUAACGAUAGAAUUGCCUUUGAUACUGUAAAGCUUGAAAGGGGUUGAGGUCAGCAGAAUGUGGCAUGUAGGGGUGAAAUGCAUAGUUAUGCCAUAGAACACCGAUUGCGAAGGCAGCUGGCUGGGCCUACUUUGACGCUGAGGCACGAAAGCGUGGGGAGCGAACAGG
This 253-nucleotide ribosomal RNA is filed under the name uncultured bacterium. Its description in RNAcentral is "partial 16S ribosomal RNA". It matches the Rfam family "Bacterial small subunit ribosomal RNA", at positions 524 to 776 of the family's 1533-position model. The record is from RNAcentral.